UCAAGUAUGGCGUUCACACGGUCCUCGU
This 28-nucleotide small RNA is filed under the name Bombyx mori (domestic silkworm). RNAcentral's name for it is "piRNA piR-bmo-2023318". Lineage: Eukaryota; Metazoa; Arthropoda; Insecta; Lepidoptera; Bombycidae. The record is from RNAcentral.